CGAGUGAAGCGGCAACAGCUCAAAUUUGAAAUCUGGCCCUUUCAGGGUCCGAGUUGUAAUUUGCAGAGGAUGCUUCGGGUUUGGCUCCGGUCUAAGUUCCUUGGAACAGGACGUCAUAGAGGGUGAGAAUCCCGUAUGUGACUGGCCGCCACGCCUGUGUGAAGCUCCUUCGACGAGUCGAGUUGUUUGGGAAUGCAGCUCAAAAUGGGUGGUAAAUUUCAUCUAAAGCUAAAUACUGGCCAGAGACCGAUAGCGCACAAGUAGAGUGAUCGAAAGAUGAAAAGCACUUUGGAAAGAGAGUCAAACAGUACGUGAAAUUGUUGAAAGGGAAGCGCUUGCAACCAGACUUGCCCGCGGGUGAUCAACCGGUAUUCUUACCGGUGCACUCGCCCGUGGUCAGGCCAGCAUCGGUUUGGGCGGCUGGAUAAAGUCCACUGGAAUGUAGCUCCUCUCGGGGAGUGUUAUAGCCAGAGGUGCCAUGCAGCCCGUCCGGACCGAGGACCGCGCUUCGGCUAGGAUGCUGGCGUAAUGGUUGUAAGCGACCCGUCUUGAAACACGGACCAAGGAGUCUAACAUCUAUGCGAGUGUUUGGGUGUCAAACCCAUGCGCGUAAUGAAAGUGAACGGAGGUGGGAACCCUUAAGGGUGCACCAUCGACCGAUCCUGAUGUCUUCGGAUGGAUUUGAGUAAGAGCAUAGCUGUUGGGACCCGAAAGAUGGUGAACUAUGCCUGAAUAGGGUGAAGCCAGAGGAAACUCUGGUGGAGGCUCGCAGCGGUUCUGACGUGCAAAUCGAUCGUCAAAUUUGGGUAUAG
This 812-nucleotide ribosomal RNA is filed under the name Acarospora praeruptorum. RNAcentral's name for it is "partial large subunit ribosomal RNA". It matches the Rfam family "Eukaryotic large subunit ribosomal RNA", at positions 90 to 920 of the family's 3401-position model. The record is from RNAcentral. Lineage: Eukaryota; Fungi; Ascomycota; Lecanoromycetes; Acarosporales; Acarosporaceae.